This 254-nucleotide ribosomal RNA is filed under the name uncultured bacterium. Its description in RNAcentral is "partial 16S ribosomal RNA". It matches the Rfam family "Bacterial small subunit ribosomal RNA", at positions 524 to 776 of the family's 1533-position model. The record is from RNAcentral.
UACGGAGGGAGCUAGCGUUGUUCGGAAUUACUGGGCGUAAAGCGCACGUAGGCGGCUUUGUAAGUUAGAGGUGAAAGCCCGGGGCUCAACUCCGGAACUGCCUUUUAAGACUGCAUCGCUUGAAUCCGGGAGAGGUGAGUGGAAUUCCGAGUGUAGAGGUGAAAUUCGUAGAUAUUCGGAAGAACACCAGUGGCGAAGGCGGCUCACUGGACCGGUAUUGACGCUGAGGUGCGAAAGCGUGGGGAGCAAACAGG